UCAGCAAGCAUGCUGCUUAAGCAACAAAU
This 29-nucleotide non-coding RNA is filed under the name Mus musculus (house mouse). Lineage: Eukaryota; Metazoa; Chordata; Mammalia; Rodentia; Muridae. The record is from RNAcentral.